AUGGAGGAUCUUGGCCUGCGUGAGGAGGACCUCGAUGACGUCGUCUUCGACGAUAAGGAGGCGCCGCAGGAGGCGGUGCGGUGGAUGGCUUUGGCUAGGGUUAACACGAGUAAGACCUAUAGUCAGACAUGGUUUUUCAGAAACAUGCGCUCGGCAUGGGAUGCGGCACAGGAGGUGAAGUUCAAACCUCUGGAAGAUAAUCUCUAUACAGUCAAGUUUUCGUGCCUUGGGGACUAG
This 237-nucleotide ribosomal RNA is filed under the name Triticum aestivum (bread wheat). Its description in RNAcentral is "partial small subunit ribosomal RNA". Lineage: Eukaryota; Viridiplantae; Streptophyta; Magnoliopsida; Poales; Poaceae. The record is from RNAcentral.